GGAUCCCUCUCUUAACAAAAAAUAAGCCUUUCCCUCUUAUGACUCUUAUUCUGCCUCCUCUCACCCCCAAGGAAAUUCGUUUCUAGACCCAACCCGUCCAAAUCCCUCAACCUCACGCUGGCAAAAGCCAUCGGCAGAGGUGUCGAUUGCAGAUCAGCCGUCGUCAAUUCCAAGAGCCACUCUCCAAUUCCUCGACAUUUCCUUCUCCACCGCCGAUAAACAAUAACCAGCUCGUCUUCGUCGACGAUGAGAAUAUGCCCUUGGAAGGUGCCAUUCAGUUCGACAAGCCCAGCUCCUCUGCUCGAAUCAGAAAAUAAGGGUUAGUAAUUCAUCGAUUCAAAACCCUAAUUUCCCUAUUUUUGACUUUGAAACCCUCUUCUCGAGCUCAUCUCCUUUCUUGAAUGGAACCCUCCAACUGGAUCUCCGAUGUCAAGCUGGGUCUGUGAAAUUGUGGCUUAAUUGACGCCAUUGUUAGGGUAUCUCUGCCCAGUCAUCCUAUCUCUCCCUUUGAACCAUUUUGGAUGAGGCACAUUACAUAAAAUCUAGGCGUUGCAAUACUGCAAAAGAUGUUCUUGCUUUAGAGUCUACAUAUAAAUAGGCUCUAAGCAGCACGCCCCUUCAGAAUCGUGUUGGAGAGAUAUAUUGACUAUAAUCAAGGUUUCUUGGUCAUCCAACAACAUAUUUGAAUUUGAUUUACGCAGGUCCGCUACUUGCAAUUAGUCCCAUACUCGUAUUACUUGUGUAAGGACUGUGACUGCAGAACUCUUGAUCAUAGUUCCACACUAAUUGUUACAGGGGUUUGAAUCUCUAAGCAGAUCUAUCUCUCCAACUCUCAAUUCCUCUCUAGUCAGGUUUGUCAAGAUGUUUACUUCAAGGAAGAAGAUUCAUAAGGAUAAGGAUGCUGAGCCAACUGAGUUUGAAGAGUCGAUUGCAUAACUAAGCUAUAUUGCUUUCCUUAGCAUUGGAUGCUGGACCUGUGAUAGCCAGUGAAAGAUUGGAAAUUGAUGAUCAAACUAAUGAUCCAAACUAUUUAUUCACUGGAUUCCUUCCAUAUUUGAUGGUUCAGCUAAAUUAAAAUUAUGCUGGAGCUUAAAAUUAUCACAACCAAAGUUCGCAGCCAUAACACUAUUCAGGUCAACCAAGCAGAUUACAUUUUUUUUCGAAAGGGUGCAUUAGUAUUCCCCUGUGGAGGUCCACAUCACUUGAGGUGCUACUGCAUUUGACAAAAAUAUGAUACUGUCUAGUUUACUGCUGGGAUAGGAUCAUGACAUACAGUCGUGCCUUCUGUUGUUUUCUGAACCAUUUCUACUGCUGGGAUAGGACCAAAUGACACAGCUUGCAUCAGUCCACGCACAAUACAGUAGACUUGUGAUACCAACCCCAGCCAUCAAUGAUGGGUAUCGACCCGAAAUGCCUCAAACUGUUCCAGAUUCGCUGCUGAACUGAAAGGGUUGGUUUCACUUACCAUUAGCUGGUUUGAUGGUUAUGUUUUUGUCUACUUUGAGUUAGUCCUCAAAGCAUUUUGAUGGAAAUUAUUCUUGGACAAGGAUUAUGUUGUUAAAGGGGGGAAAUCUUAGUGAUAUUCCACCUUCAAUAACAAUGUAUUCUAGAAAGCAGCCUUGUUUUUUGUAAUCCAAGAAUUUACUUUGGUAUGAAAUGUAUUUUGCUAGGAAUGUAAAUAACAUCUUGCUAUGAAUGCAAAGUUUAAUAUUUUCGAUUGA
This is a long non-coding RNA of Rosa chinensis, 1721 nucleotides long. RefSeq lists it as uncharacterized. The record is from RefSeq and is a predicted model, not a curated record. NCBI's taxonomy places the organism in Eukaryota, Viridiplantae, Streptophyta, Magnoliopsida, Rosales, Rosaceae. The transcript has 5 exons.